This 336-nucleotide long non-coding RNA is filed under the name Malus domestica (apple). RNAcentral's name for it is "long non-coding RNA (MDOM_LNC000831)". The record is from RNAcentral. Lineage: Eukaryota; Viridiplantae; Streptophyta; Magnoliopsida; Rosales; Rosaceae.
UGCCCCUUGGUGUAAGGUAAACCACCUUUGGGCAUCAUCCACAUGGUUUGCAAUUGCUUGGACAAGUGUUGCCCACUUUGGGUAGAUGCCAUUUGCCAAGUAAUACACCAUAUUGUACUGACACCUGUUGAUGUAGUAGUCAAGUUGAGGUGAUUUACCCUCCAUCAGAUUAUUGACGAGGGGUUAACACCCAAGUACUGUAAUGUCAUUUUGGGAUUCUGGAACUCCAAAGAAAGCAUGCCAGAUCCAUGUGUCAAAUGAGGAAACACCCUUUAACAUAAUAGUUGGUUUUCUCAAUCUUCCGCUGAAUCCUCAUUGCCUCCGGUGGGACAGUUC